CCUACGGGUGGCAGCAGUGGGGAAUAUUGGGCAAUGGGCGCAAGCCUGACCCAGCAACGCCGCGUGAAGGAAGAAGGCCCUCGGGUUGUAAACUUCUUUUAACAGGGACGAAGAAAGUGACGGUACCUGUUGAAUAAGCCACGGCUAACUACGUGCCAGCAGCCGCGGUAAUACGUAGGUGGCAAGCGUUAUCCGGAUUUACUGGGUGUAAAGGGCGUGUAGGCGGGAGAGCAAGUCAGACGUGAAAUUCCAGGGCUCAACCCUGAGCCUGCAUUUGAAACUGUUUUUCUUGAGUGCUGGAGAGGCAAUCGGAAUUCCGUGUGUAGCGGUGAAAUGCGUAGAUAUACGGAGGAACACCAGUGGCGAAGGCGGAUUGCUGGACAGUAACUGACGCUGAGGCGCGAAAGCGUGGGGAGCAAACAGGAUUAGAUACCCGGGUAGUC
Molecule: ribosomal RNA, 443 nt
Filed under: uncultured bacterium
Lineage: Bacteria
Description: partial 16S ribosomal RNA
Rfam family: Bacterial small subunit ribosomal RNA
Source: RNAcentral